This 315-nucleotide ribosomal RNA is filed under the name uncultured bacterium. RNAcentral describes it as "bacterial SSU rRNA". It matches the Rfam family "Bacterial small subunit ribosomal RNA", at positions 28 to 334 of the family's 1533-position model. The record is from RNAcentral.
GGCGAACGCUGGCGGCGUGCUUAACACAUGCAAGUCGAACGGGCUGAGAUAGCUUGCUAUCAAGGCUAGUGGCAAACGGGUGAGUAACGCGUAGGCAACCUGCCCAUGAGAUGGGGACAACAUUCCGAAAGGGAUGCUAAUACCGAAUGAUGUUACGGAGUCGCAUGACUCUGUAACCAAAGGCUGAGCAAUCGGUCACUCAUGGAUGGGCCUGCGUCUGAUUAGCUAGUUGGUGGGGUAACGGCCCACCAAGGCGACGAUCAGUAGCCGGUCUGAGAGGAUGAACGGCCACAUUGGGACUGAGACACGGCCCAG